Molecule: long non-coding RNA, 566 nt
Organism: Galendromus occidentalis (western predatory mite)
Lineage: Eukaryota; Metazoa; Arthropoda; Arachnida; Mesostigmata; Phytoseiidae
Exons: 4
Source: RefSeq, a predicted model, not a curated record
AUCCCAACCGAUCCGAGGGUACGUGAUAAGCCGUAAAGAGCCCAGCGAGGCAGUGCGACGCGAGCUUCACGAGGCGGCGGAGAGAGCCAACUACCAGGGAGACCAGCUCCCUGAUUCUCCGAACGAGGGACACCCAGUUCCCCGGAUCCAUCACGCGGAGGCGAAGGAGCCAGACCAAUACUCAGCUUUCUACGACAACGUCUUCUCCGACUCAUUUUAUUCAUUCGACUCAUUCGAACGGAAUCAACAUGAAGUGGUCUCCAGCUUUCUGCCUUCUCAUUCUGACCGUCGUAUCGGUCUCGGCCCAAGAACCGCAGAUCACCAUUAUUCAAGACCUCGAAACAGUUAUCUCUUUAAUAACGGAUCCCAUCAUCGAAGUGUUGACAUAUUUCAACAUCUUCGGCUUGGCUGAAACCUUGGAAAAUGAGCGUGAAAUCCUUUUUACGCUCCUCGAGUCUCUCCCAGGGUUCUGAUGGAUACGCUGCCAUGUUCCGGAAGAAGCAUUGGACGAAUUGGCGUUCCCCUCCUACCGCAAUAAAUUGAAUAUUUAAUUCUAAGAUCGCAUA